UACGUAGGGUGCAAGCGUUAAUCGGAAUUACUGGGCGUAAAGCGUGCGCAGGCGGUUGUGCAAGACAGAUGUGAAAUCCCCGGGCUCAACCUGGGAAUUGCAUUUGUGACUGCACGGCUAGAGUGUGUCAGAGGGGGGUAGAAUUCCGCGUGUAGCAGUGAAAUGCGUAGAUAUUGGGAGGAACACCGGUGGCGAAGGCGGCCCCCUGGACCGGUACUGACGCUGAGGCGCGAAAGCGUGGGUAGCAAACGGG
This 253-nucleotide ribosomal RNA is filed under the name uncultured bacterium. RNAcentral describes it as "partial 16S ribosomal RNA". It matches the Rfam family "Bacterial small subunit ribosomal RNA", at positions 524 to 776 of the family's 1533-position model. The record is from RNAcentral.